UACGGGGGGGGCAAGCGUUGUUCGGAAUUACUGGGCGUAAAGGGCUCGUAGGUGGCCAACUAAGUCGGACGUGAAAUCCCUCGGCUUAACCGGGGAACUGCGUCUGAUACUGGAUGGCUUGAGUUCGGGAGAGGGAUGCGGAAUUCCAGGUGUAGCGGUGAAAUGCGUAGAUAUCUGGAGGAACACCGGUGGCGAAGGCGGCAGCCUGGACCGACACUGACGCUGAGGAGCGAAAGCCAGGGGAGCAAACGGG
RNAcentral lists this ribosomal RNA (253 nucleotides) under uncultured bacterium. Its description in RNAcentral is "partial 16S ribosomal RNA". It matches the Rfam family "Bacterial small subunit ribosomal RNA", at positions 524 to 776 of the family's 1533-position model. The record is from RNAcentral.